Molecule: ribosomal RNA, 253 nt
Filed under: uncultured bacterium
Lineage: Bacteria
Description: partial 16S ribosomal RNA
Rfam family: Bacterial small subunit ribosomal RNA
Source: RNAcentral
UACGUAGGGUGCAAGCGUUGUCCGGAAUUAUUGGGCGUAAAGAGCUCGUAGGCGGUUUGUCACGUCGGCUGUGAAAACCCGAGGCUCAACCUCGGGCCUGCAGUCGAUACGGGCAGACUAGAGUAUGGCAGGGGAGACUGGAAUUCCAGGUGUAGCGGUGAAAUGCGUAGAUAUCUGGAGGAAUACCGGUGGCGAAGGCGGCAUCCUGGACCGAGAUUGACACUGAUGAGCGAAAGCUAGGGGAGCAAACGGG